AUUAGAAGGGAGGCUUGUCUCCAAGAUAUGGAAGGAAGUGAGAAAUGACAGGACCGCAAGCUUUGUAUGUAGGAGCCUGGCAGGGCGGGGGAGCGGCGGGGAAAGCCAAGUGGAUUCUCAGAAAAGGAGGGAAGCCGUAGAUAGAGCUAACGGUGAUUAGAGGGGGGAUAUUGAUUCCUUAUUCUGCCAGAGAUUUAAGCAGGCAUGCAAGGAAUCUGCACCAUGGUUGGCAAAAGGAGCCUCUGUAACCAGACACUCGGGCUUUCCAGGAGCCCAGGGAGAGAGCUGAGAAGAAAGGGGGCAGUGUGGUCUAGGAAAAUUCAACUUGUCGCUGAUUUGUGCCUGAUGCUUGCUGUCCGUCAGCAGCCUCCCUUACAAUCUUUUUUUCUCUCUCUCUCUCCCUUUUUUUCUUGCCUUCUCCUUCUUCACUGAAGCCUAGGGGAGCCAGCAAAGAUUAAAUGUGCUUUCUCAAAGGCGGCCACUUCACGCUGCUAUGUCGAAAAGGCCAUUAUUAUUAUUAUUUUUAAUAGUAAAAGAAAAAGGGAGAGAGAGGUUGAGACAGGGAGAGAGAAGCAAGGUAGGUUGAUGACGGACUAGCCUUUCUGAGAGGAAAAGGAAAGUGAGAGAGAAAGGAGAGACCCUGAACUGAACGGAGGAUUGUGCCUGAGAAGAACCUACAGAGCAUGAGCUACAGAGUUACAGUCUCGAGAUUUGGUGUAUCGCUUCCUGCCCCCGCCUCCCUCCCCGCCCCGAUGUCGGUCCUCUGUUGAAACACCUCGCCCAGGCUAGCGCACUGCGAGCUCCCAUUUCCCCCCCUUGCUCGGAAUGGUGUUGCACGAGGGCUGCAGCCCUGCUCCGCUUCCGAUGGUUGUGUCGAUGUUCCUUUCAGCUGGUCCUAUAGCCCCCCUCCUCAGGAAGGUCUCCCCAGGGAAAGGACAAAAACUUCAGAGACACAGCUGCACUGAUGGACGCUCAAGCCAACAAUGGAGUUGAAACAAAGAAAGAGAUCACCUGAAGACACCUUCCCUGCUAAGCAGCACACCCCAAAUGGCGCAGUUGCAGGCAAUAGAACUCUCAGAACAGGAGACCAUGUUUUCAAGAACCAGACAAAAUUUAACAGUGACAUCUAGAUUUCUAAAGAGCCAAGGACUUUCCCUUCCUCGUGUGUAUUCCUCUGUUUGUAUUUAAAUUCAGUGUGACAUUCAUUUCUAAAAUAUUUUCCCGCGAUGAGUAUGCUCGUGAAGGCAUUGAUGUUUUUACAACAGAAAAUUGCACACAGGUGUUCAUGGGGUAAGGAACAAAAUUAGUGCUAUAAGAACAUCGAUUUUUAGCCACACACCGUUUGAUCUUAAGAGUGACCCGAAGGAACAUAAAGUACUUUUGAAAUACCAAAGUAGUCAGAGGCAAUCCGAAGGAUAACAUAGUGGACAUUAUCCCACCUGACACAGACCAGUCAACCAUUCUUUUAAUCCAGCAAAAUAGGUUCGCUGAGACAUGAUCCCUGCCUCUAAAGAGUUUAAAUUUAAUGAGACCGAGAAACACAAACUUUUGAAAAGAUAGUAACCAAUCAGGUGCAUUGAUGUUAAGACCACAGUAAAACUCAAGAGAUAAUAAGCAAAGAGUUCAGAGGAGGUCACCAUAAUCUGGGCAAACCUGGCCUGUUUAGGGAAGAAAGUUUCCAAAGGAGGAAAACACAAGAUGAAUCUUAAAGGAUAGUAAGAUUUAGGGGCACCUGGUUGGCUCCGUUGGUAGAGCAUGCGACUCUUAAUCUCAGGGUUGUGAGUUCAAGCCCCACAUUGGGCGUGGAGCCUACUUACUAAAAAAGGGGGGGAGGUAUUAAAUAUUUAGAUGAAUGGAAAGGAAAGAGAGAAUAGAUUGCUUUAAAUGAAUGCAAUGUGAGCAAAGCCAUGGAGGAAGGAAUCUAUGUGGUGAAUAUUGGGAAUUAUGAGUAUACGUGUCUAGUUGACAUUGAAUGCCAGCAUACAUAGACAUAUACGGUAAGGACUUCGCACACACACGUCCCCUCUCCCACCUUGGGUGUCACCUAGAAAUACCAUCUUAUUUUCCACAAAAGCAAGUGGGAGUGAUUGGUGGUAAUAUGAGAACUUACGAUUUUUCUUUUCACUUAAUAACAAUUAGUAUUUACCGAGGUCUUGAUGUAUGUUAAGCAUUUGACGUAUGAACUCGCUUAAGCCUACAGCUCAGAACAGCCCUGCAAGAUAGGUACGAUUAUCCCUGUUUGGAAGCUAACAGUUAAUGAGAUUAAGUAACUUGCCAAACUGCCACGCACAGGGUCUGCACUCAGAAUUGUGACCAUAAAUCUCAUGAUCUGAAGCAUGAAGUCCCAAUAUUGUGAUCAGUGUUGCAGUGUUACCACUUCCGUAUUCCCCGAUAGUUCUUUAUGGUGAACAAAUAGCUAUGACAUUCAGUUAUCCCCUCAAAUUUUUCAGUUUUCUGCUUAAAUGACAUUAGAACGAUCGAAAGACUUUUCAUGGGAGAAAACUGACAGAAUUGGGGAAGAGAGCUUCUCAGCAUUUUAGGGUGUUGUUUGUUUUUUUGCCAGACGUUGAGGAAACGGUUCGCCUUGUUCUGCACAAAAUCUAAAAUUCCUGAGGAUUAAUAAAGGAGGGGGGAAACUCAAAGGUCAUCUGUUGCCACGUGCUUUUCUACAGACCCCCUCAAAGUGUGAGUGGCUUACGGGAAGCUCACACAUUUGAGUGUGGCAGAGCUAGGUCCAGAAACCAGGCUGUCCAGUCUCCUCUCCGAGGCUCUUGAACUACCCCACCCUGCCUACAUGGAGUAUGAACUUGAAUUUGAUCAAGGAAAGUGUUCUGUCUGGGUGAUCGGGGGGACUGCGCCUAGCAGGUUGUUUCCAUUUUGCACCUGUUUUGCUUCCCACCUCAACGUGAAAACUAGCCAGUUAUGAACUGACAUCUUCUGAUGUAGACAUUGUCAAUGGUCCACCCCCAAAGAACACGUAAUGGCUCAAAUUAUGUGCACCAUGUCUCCAAUGCUAUUCUUAAGUUAUUUGGAAUUCUUAGUUCACCUAAACCAAUCGGGUCUUCUAAUGAGCAUUUCCUUACCCGAUUUUAUGCGCAGUAUGUAUUUGUCAGUGCUUCUGCAUGAAUAUUUAUGCACGACUGUUUCAAUAGUCCUUAUGUUUUUGAAAAUAUCAAUGGUUAUUUGCUAUUUUAAUCCUCACUUAUCCAUGUAACUGACUGAAGAAUACUUCAGCCAUAAAAAGCUAGAAGUGAGGAAAUCUCACUCUUUUUCACCGGAUCCUUCGCAUUUAAUUGGCAUUUAGUAAUGAUUAAUAAAGUGGUCAGCUGGGUGACACAGUUCCCAAAUGCAAUUCUGUCUCGAAGGAGUCAGUUAAGCUGCCUCUACUUAAGGACACACAUCUAGACAUUUGGAAGCACCUGAAUAUUUGUUGUAAAUUUCCACUUCAAAAUCUGGCAUUGUCAGACCUACACCUCCUUGUGGCUCAGGCCGUCCUGUUUUCAAAAUGAUGAUUAUUGGCCCUAUCUCACACAGUUCUCAUUAAGUGAGUGGCCAAGCACAAAAUGUGACUUUGUUGACAUUUUCUGAGACUUUGUCGUAUGUCCCUUGAAUCCCCAAAUAAAAGCAACGUUGCAUCAACUGUGAA
Molecule: long non-coding RNA, 3646 nt
Organism: Lynx canadensis (Canada lynx)
Lineage: Eukaryota; Metazoa; Chordata; Mammalia; Carnivora; Felidae
Exons: 3
Source: RefSeq, a predicted model, not a curated record